UUGCUAUUAAUUUUAUUCAAACCGUUUGAAGAUUACAAUUUUUAUAUAAAUAUUGACAUAAAACAACCAAUAUUUAAUAAAUAAUAAUUAAAGCUUUUAGGUCAAGCGGAAUCAAAAAUGAAUUUAUACUAAUAAAUAUUCAAAUUAUGGCCUGACUUUGUAAUUAAAUUUAGUUGAAAGCAAAAAUAAACAUUUUAAAAUAAAAUUAUUUUUUUUAAGUUGAUGAAAAUGUUAAAGCUUAUUGUAAUACCCUAUUUUGGCCCGGGUCUAAAGUGCCCGAAUUACAAACGGGCCUAUGUGGCCCAAACCAAACGGAGGCCCAAAAUUAAUCAGGCCCAAAACAAUAGACAGAAACCCUAGGGUUUCUAAGGAAAUCUUCUUGCGCCACAACCAGGCUCUUCGCACAAGCCGCGUCCCUGUACCUGCACAUCAAGAAAGCAAACAGCAGUAUAUGGAAAGAAAAAGAUUGCGAAUCAAAGAAAACAGAUUUGAUUCCUUUAUGAUAUUGUUUCAUUCGGCUAUAAAAAGCCACCAAUAUACUGUAAUGGGGAUAAAAAAAUCAAUAAGAAAAAGAUAACAGCAUUUCACGCGAAAACUGGAUAUUAAAUCGGAGAAUCAAUCAAAAACGCAAAGGUUGAUAUUUUUUUUGUUUCAGUUAUUUACUUUCUUUUAUUUUUUUUCAUACUAAUAAAAUAAAGGAAAAAGGGAAAGACUUUUACCUUCGUGUGGUCUGUCACGCCGCGAGAAGACCGAGGGAGCCACCCCCGAGGAUCGGUGGCCGGAAACCGAAGGGUUUCUUGAUUUUCUUAGUAUUUUUGGUUCGAUUUUGGGGAUUUGGAACCCGGAUUUGGGUUUAGAAGGUCACAAGGACCAGAUUAGGGAUUUUCCCUCUUUUCCGGCUACUGCAGACGACGGUGCCGGCGCCGGAGAACGGCGGCCGGCGCGGUGGCCGGGCUGGAUGCCGGACGAUUGGGUAGGGGAGAGUUUUUUUUGAAAGGUGUUUUGUUUUUAAAACAGAAUGAAAAAAUGAAAAUUUUUGAAUUAUUUUUGGCUUAAAUAGCCUUUUGGAAACGACGUCGUUUCAUUAGGCCUCCCCAGGUGCUAAAACGACGUCGUUUUGGGGAGGCCGACCCGAAUCUGACCCGACCUAGGAUCCGCGUGUUUUUAUGCGGAGGGGUAAAUUGUGCUUUUAGCCCUUCCGCCUUUUAGGAUUUUUGCAAUUAAGUUUUUAUUUUUUAAAAUUUACCCCUUUAAUUUAUUUUCGAUUUCAAUUGGGUCCAAUUUGAACGGCGUCGUUUUGGAGGAGAAGGGAUAAUUUCCUUUCCAGCCCCUCUAUGUUAUUCGCGUGUUCAAUAUGGUCCCUUUUGCCUCCAAUUAUUUGCGGAUUUUCCCCAGACUCCUAUUUCCAAUUCAAAUUAG
This 1419-nucleotide long non-coding RNA is filed under the name Gossypium barbadense (sea-island cotton). RNAcentral describes it as "long non-coding RNA (GBAR_LNC014732)". Lineage: Eukaryota; Viridiplantae; Streptophyta; Magnoliopsida; Malvales; Malvaceae. The record is from RNAcentral.